GUGCUAAGGUUUGAAGAUUGGAUCUUCUCUAUUUAUUUUUCUCUAUGUGAUUUCUGAAUCUAAAUUCUAUCUCAUAUAUAUCGAUCUUGUUUUAUGAUUUUAAGAUUUGAUCUUAUGCAUGCUUUGAUUAAAUUAGAUUUAAUCUGAAUUUUUAAAAUUUUUUACUACGUACUUAUUUCAAAAUUUUUACAUACAUGAAAUCAUGAAAUCCCAACAUACUAUAAUCCUCAUAGGCUGCACAUGGACUCAAAUGUGGCUCGACUAAUCUUUGUGCACCCAUGGGUAGGUUCUUAACCAAUUAUUUCAUCAAACAACUUAUAGCAGUUAAUUUUACCCCAGGAACCUCUUCAGCAAGUAUGUGGCACCUUCACUGAAAGUUCUGGUUAGGUCAACCAUUAAUAUGUCAGAAUUCAGUACAUCUGAUAAAUGAAUGAUCAGAUCUGAGUGUGGCUUGACCAACCUGACCAUCGAUAGAAAGAUACAUCUAAAUCAGCAUAUUAUGAAUGAUAACUCUGAAUAGCCAGAUGAGCACCAGUCAUGUGGUGCCUCCAAUGAUCAUCUCAACUAUUGGACUCAUUAUCAUCCAACUUAAUGGGAGGCUAUGAUCUAGUUAUUACCAUAACUAUUCAUUUUUAAAGACUUAAUAAUUUUAAAAGAUUCAGUUAGAUUCAUUAAGAGAAGAGAAA
RNAcentral lists this long non-coding RNA (686 nucleotides) under Elaeis guineensis (African oil palm). RNAcentral describes it as "long non-coding RNA (EGUI_LNC018273)". The record is from RNAcentral. Lineage: Eukaryota; Viridiplantae; Streptophyta; Magnoliopsida; Arecales; Arecaceae.